This 1485-nucleotide long non-coding RNA is filed under the name Mytilus galloprovincialis (Mediterranean mussel). The record is from RNAcentral. Lineage: Eukaryota; Metazoa; Mollusca; Bivalvia; Mytilida; Mytilidae.
AUUCCUUACGGCCAAUUUGUUAAAACUAGGAAACAAAUAUUUUUUCUUAAUUCUUGAAAAUAUAUACCAUGAAUUCACAGUCAUUAAUUUUAACUGUUUAAGAUUAUAUGUUCUCCAAAAGUUAAUAGCAACAAACAAUUGUUUAAUUCUAACACAGCUCUAAUUUGUUUAGGUUAAAGAGUAAAGAUGUUUUCCUAGCAAAAUCCUAUCAUGAUGUAAAUUAGAAAACAGAUUUUUUCCCCUGAAUUUCUGAAUAAUUUUCAGAAAUUUGGAAAAUAUCCUAUGAAAAACGUCAUCAAAGAUUAAGUAUUCUAGUUGCACUUUUCAUUUUUAAAAGACUUAUUAGCUGGGCUCAAAUCAAAACAAAUUGGAAGGCCAAAUAAGUGUAGUUAGAGGGCAUAGAAAACAAACAAUCCCAGAAAUGUGUGCCAUCCUCAAUUUAUUAUUGAAUUGUAAGAGACAGAAAGUUGUGAUGUAUUAAUAUAAUGUAUUUGGAAAUUAUAUACUGUGGAUUGAUUCUUAUUCGUGAUAGGAUUCCAGUUUUUGUAGGUACAAGUGAAUUGUGAAAUUAAAUGAAAACGAUUGACAAAUUUCCUAUAGGCUUUUAUGCUGACUUCCGCAAACCACAAAAUUAAGUACCAACAAACAUGUGAGAUUUCCUUAAUACAAGAAAAUUGAUACCCACGAAAAAAUAAAUGGAUCCACAGUAUGCUGGUAUGAUACAUUAUAACAAACUUAGAUUUCAAGGCCUGUGACUUUCCUCAGUAUUUAUAGCGGAAAGUAAAGGAAAGUCCUUUCACUGAACACAAGCAUAGAUCUACCUCACAUAGUAACUGUAUUAUUAACAACCUGACCAAGUCACAAAAAAUGUUAAUUUUAACUGUAGUUAAUCAAUUGUACAAAACUUUUAAUAGUACUGCAUUUAUUAUUACCUUUACUUAAACAAGGGACCAAGAAAACUACAAACAUAAAAAAUUUAAAUUUUAUUUAUUUAUUUUUUUUAGGGAAAGGGGGUUCCUAGUAGAUAGUGAUUUGUUUUUUAAGUGCAAAGUUAUUUGUAUAAAUUUUGAAUUAGAAACAAGAUUUUGAACUAGAAAUAAAAAUUUGUACCAGAAAUAAAAUUUUGAACUAGAAUCAUUUAAUAUAGUUUCCUUUUUUUUCGAUAUCUAGUUCAUAGAUCCGAUGAAAAUUUCAAUCAGCUAUCAAAUUUAUUCAAAUUUCAUGGGAUAAUAAGAAAAUUAUAAAAUGACAAAAUGUAAUGUUUAUGGGUCCAAGGUGAAAUAUUUACCAAUAUAAUUUCUAUUUAAACUCCUCUAUGUAUUAAUUCUUGAUAUAGGAUAAUUAACUGUUGUAUAAAUUGAUAUAUAAUAUGAACCUAAUGUAUUAAUGUAUCUUGUGUAUGUUAAAUACAAUAUAAAAAGCAUUAUAAUAAUACAUGGUACUGGUGCAAUAUUGUAUUACGAUACAUGUUAUGUAGUAUUACAC